CUAGCUACUUGUCAUUCAGUGCCCAACACCCUACAAUUACAAAUUUUAAUGAGGAUUAGAUUUAAUUAAAGUGCACUCCGGCUGUUCUACGGUUCAUUCUCCCACUGUAUUAUGUAUGAGCCAUUUGUCACAUUGGCUUGUUGCCCCCUCCUUUCUCCUCCCACGUCGCCAUUUGUAUAAAUACCAAUCUCCAAAUGACCACUGCAAUAAUCUGGUAAACGAAACACAAUAAACGAAUUGGAGAAGUAAUUAAUGGGGUCAAGCAGAGGUUGCUGCUCCAAUGGUACUACCAUCACGGCAGCCAUGAUGAUCAUGGUGGUGGUUUCAAUCACCAGAACGGCGACAGGACAACAGCUGACGGAGAACUACUACAUUGGAAGCUGCCCGAACGUGGAGGCGGUAGUACAGAAGGUGAUAGCGGCCAAAGCACGCAAGCAGUUCGCAACCAUCCCGGGCACGCUCCGUCUCUUUUUCCAUGACUGCUUCGUUA
This 490-nucleotide long non-coding RNA is filed under the name Linum usitatissimum (flax). RNAcentral describes it as "long non-coding RNA (LUSI_LNC007132)". The record is from RNAcentral. Lineage: Eukaryota; Viridiplantae; Streptophyta; Magnoliopsida; Malpighiales; Linaceae.